RNAcentral lists this small nucleolar RNA (135 nucleotides) under Dasypus novemcinctus (nine-banded armadillo). RNAcentral describes it as "Small nucleolar RNA SNORA70 (ENSDNOG00000033520.1)". It matches the Rfam family "Small nucleolar RNA SNORA70". From Rfam's summary of the family: snoRNA U70 seems to be exclusive to mammals and is a member of the H/ACA class of snoRNA which contain H (ANANNA) and ACA box motifs. H/ACA box snoRNAs are involved in the conversion of uridines to pseudouridines (5-ribosyluracil) a constituent of structural RNAs (transfer, ribosomal, small nuclear, and small nucleolar). Lineage: Eukaryota; Metazoa; Chordata; Mammalia; Cingulata; Dasypodidae. The record is from RNAcentral.
CUGCAGCCAAUUAAGCCGAUUGUCCCCCUCUCCCCAUGGGGGCCUGGUGUGCAGUGGCUGCAGGCAGCAGCCCCCUUGGUAGUGUCUGCAGCCUGUUGCUUGUAUGGGUUGCCUUAAGGGACCUUGGAGACAGCC